CCUACGGGGGGCAGCAGUCGGGAAUAUUGCGCAAUGGAGGAGACUCUGACGCAGUGACGCCGCGUAUAGGAAGAAGGUUUUCGGAUUGGAAACUAUUGUCGUUCGGGAAGAUAAAAGACUGUACCUACGGAGGAAGCCCCGGCCCACUAUGUGCCAGCAGCCGCGGUAAUACAUAGGGGGCAAGCGUUAUCCGGAAUUACUGGGUGUAAAGGGGGCGUAGACGGAAGAACAAGUUGGUUGUGAAAUCCCUCGGCUUAACUGAGGAACUGCCACCAAAACUAUUCUCCUUGAGUGUCGGAGAGGAAAGUGGAAUGCCUAGUGUAGCGGUGAAAUGCGUAGAUAUUAGGAGGAACACCAGUGGCGAAGGCGACUUUCUGGACGAUAACUGACGUUGAGGCACGAAAGUGUGGGGAGCAAACAGGAUUAGAUACCCUGGUAGUC
RNAcentral lists this ribosomal RNA (441 nucleotides) under uncultured bacterium. RNAcentral's name for it is "partial 16S ribosomal RNA". It matches the Rfam family "Bacterial small subunit ribosomal RNA", at positions 338 to 795 of the family's 1533-position model. The record is from RNAcentral.